Molecule: long non-coding RNA, 1568 nt
Organism: Peromyscus californicus insignis
Lineage: Eukaryota; Metazoa; Chordata; Mammalia; Rodentia; Cricetidae
Exons: 3
Source: RefSeq, a predicted model, not a curated record
UGGCACGCGCAUGCUUGCAAAUUAUUACCGUAGGCUCCUUCCGCUCAGCAGCUUCGGGCUAAGAGUGUCCCUGAGAACCCAGCAUCCGGAACGAGGCCGGGAACACAGACAACCUUAGCUAGCAACCCAUUGUGUUUGGUGAUGGACAGAGGGACACGAGCGAAGGUCCGCAGGUCCCUAAGGGGCAGGGACCUCUGGGGUUCUGGAAGAACACAGCUAAAUGAAACGCAAGUCUCUGAGCAUGCGCGCUGGGCACUUCCAGCGGAGUCUUCAGAAUCAGGCCGGAAGCAGCGCCUAGGUGCCUCGUUAGCGCAGUAGGUAGCGCGUCAGUCUCAUAAUCUGAAGGUCGUGAGUUCGAUCCUCACACGGGGCACAAUACUUUUGGUGCCCUUUUACCAGGUGACGCGGUAGCAGAACAGAGUGUCUUGCAUUGGCCCGCAGUGGCUGCUACGUCCUAGGUGGCCCUGGACCUGCCCCUGUCCUGACCUUGCCCUUAUGAACUGGCGAUCGCUGGGGACCAGGACAGCCCCGGGUUGGGAGGGUGUACUGCUGAGGGUGUACAGAGAUGGGUACUGCGAGCCGUGCGGGGCUCGCACUGCGGAGCCGGGCCGUGGGGACCCGCCCAGGCGCGAGGACUCCAGGGGCCUCGGCCGCUCCUGCAGGCGGCUGCCGGGCCACCUAAAGGUCAUACCGCACGUUAGGUGGGGAUGGGUCGGGUAUAACCCACCCCGCCUUCCAAACUGCAACCCUGCCCUGGAUAACUGCGGCAGGGAGGACUCUUCUCGGAGUAACAGCCCUUCUUCCGUGGGUCGUGGGGCAGUGUGGGGAGUCUGUCCUUUUCCGGGGUGUCAUUUUUAGUUCAGUGGCCGAUCCAGGUACUCGGAAGAUAGGCACAGGUUGCUUUCCUGGCUCUCUCCGCUUCCCCCGAAGACCCCCUGGAACGCCACCAGCCCCAACUUUAGUGGUUGGCAGCAGGUCCUUCCUUAGGGAGACUCUGCCUCCCCUUCAGUCAAGAGGUUUGGGGCCUGGGAUACGGGAAUUAGGGUAAGUGGAAACUGAGCCUCAGGUCCCCUUGUGUGACUCAAGUAGGGCUCUGGGCCAUUGGGUCUGGGGUCUUCCUCUUACACGCACCAAGCUACACUUAGAAGCCUGCCCGUCUGCUUCGUUCUUAGAGACACAUAGUCAACAGUCAAAGAGCCCUGACUAUUACUGGCUUGCUGCACCUUGCUGACUUGGGGGAUUGAAAAGCUCAUUGGGUCCCUGCUACCACAGACUACAACUAUAGGUGGUGGCAUUUCUUAUUGUCACUGGUGGCCAGCAGAGCCACCACGGAGUUUCUCAGCUUUGCGGAUGAUUUCGCCAUUGGAUGCCUUACUGAACGAAAGCCGUCUUUUGGGCUCAGAGCCUGGAGUUGGGUGGUGUGUGGGAUCAUGUCGUUGAAGAUCGUUGUCCACACCGGGGAUUUCUAAGAUUUUUCCCACUCAUGAUCCCUUCCCUUUUGGCUUGAGAAAUUUUUGCAUGACCCUGGGUUUAUAAGUAUAUAAAUAAAUAAAUAUGAAUAAAAUUUA